Molecule: ribosomal RNA, 112 nt
Filed under: uncultured prokaryote
Description: partial 16S ribosomal RNA
Source: RNAcentral
UAGCGGGGUGCACACAGGCGAGAAACCUCUACAAUGCGGGAAACCGUGACAGGGGGAUCCCAAGUGCUCAUGCAUUUCAUGGGCUGUUCUUGGUCUAAGUGCCGAGAGAGGG